GCAUGUCUCAGUACAAGCCGAAUUAAGGUGAAACCGCGAAAGGCUCAUUAAAUCAGUUAUGGUUCCUUAGAUCGUACCCACAUUUACUUGGAUAACUGUGGUAAUUCUAGAGCUAAUACAUGCAAACAGAGCUCCAACCGGAAACGGAAGGAGCGCUUUUAUUAGAUCAAAACCAAUCGGUGGCGGUCUCCGUCAUCGUACAACUUGGUGACUCUGAAUAACUUUACGCUGAUCGCACGGUCUCGCACCGGCGACGCAUCUUUCAAAUGUCUGCCUUAUCAACUGUCGAUGGUAGGUUCUGCGCCUACCAUGGUUGUAACGGGUAACGGGGAAUCAGGGUUCGAUUCCGGAGAGGGAGCCUGAGAAACGGCUACCACAUCCAAGGAAGGCAGCAGGCGCGCAAAUUACCCACUCCCGGCACGGGGAGGUAGUGACGAAAAAUAACGAUACGGGACUCAUCCGAGGCCCCGUAAUCGGAAUGAGUACACUCUAAACCCUUUAACGAGGAUCAAUUGGAGGGCAAGUCUGGUGCCAGCAGCCGCGGUAAUUCCAGCUCCAAUAGCGUAUAUUAAAGUUGUUGCGGUUAAAAAGCUCGUAGUCGAAUCUGUGUCCCGCGCCGCCGGUUCAUCGUUCGCGGUGUUAACUGGCGUGCCGCGGGACGUCCUGCCGGUGGGCUUAGCUCGAGAGGGCGGCCCAACUCAAUCCCGCCGCGGUGCUCUUCAUUGAGUGUCGAGGUGGGCCGGCACGUUUACUUUGAACAAAUUAGAGUGCUUAAAGCAGGCUAAAACUUCGCCUGAAUACUGUGUGCAUGGAAUAAUGGAAUAGGACCUCGGUUCUAUUUUGUUGGUUUUCGGAACCCCGAGGUAAUGAUUAAUAGGAACGGAUGGGGGCAUUCGUAUUGCGACGUUAGAGGUGAAAUUCUUGGAUCGUCGCAAGACGGACAG
This 944-nucleotide ribosomal RNA is filed under the name Strongylium sp. COL657. Its description in RNAcentral is "SSU rRNA". It matches the Rfam family "Eukaryotic small subunit ribosomal RNA", at positions 53 to 942 of the family's 1831-position model. Lineage: Eukaryota; Metazoa; Arthropoda; Insecta; Coleoptera; Tenebrionidae. The record is from RNAcentral.